Molecule: ribosomal RNA, 403 nt
Filed under: uncultured bacterium
Lineage: Bacteria
Description: bacterial SSU rRNA
Rfam family: Bacterial small subunit ribosomal RNA
Source: RNAcentral
GGGGAAUAUUGGGCAAUGGACGCAAGUCUGACCCAGCAACGCCGCGUGAAGGAAGAAGGCUUUCGGGUUGUAAACUUCUUUUAAGGGGGAAGAGUAGAAGACGGUACCCCUUGAAUAAGCCACGGCUAACUACGUGCCAGCAGCCGCGGUAAUACGUAGGUGGCAAGCGUUGUCCGGAUUUACUGGGUGUAAAGGGCGUGUAGCCGGGAAGGUAAGUCAGAUGUGAAAUCUGGGGGCUCAACUGUAAAAGUGCCUUCGAAACUGGUUCCCUUGAGUGCGGAUGAGGUAGGCGGAAUUUGUGGUGUAGCGGUGAAAUGCAUAGAUAUCACGAGGAACUCCGAUUGCGCAGGCAGCUUACCAAGCCGUAACUGACGCUCAAGCACGAAGGCGUGGGGAUCAAACA